ACGGAAGGCAGCAGUGAGGAAUAUUGGUCAAUGGGCGAGAGCCUGAACCAGCCAAGUCGCGUGAAGGAAGAAGGUUCUAUGGAUUGUAAACUUCUUUUGUCUGAGGGUAAAGUGAGAGAUGCGUCUCUUAUUGCAAGUAUCAGACGAAUAAGCAUCGGCUAACUCCGUGCCAGCAGCCGCGGUAAUACGUAGGGAGCAAGCGUUAUCCGGAAUUACUGGGUGUAAAGGGAGUGUAGGCGGGACUGUAAGUCAGAUGUGAAAUAUGCCGGCUCAACUGGCAGACUGCAUUUGAAACUGCGGUUCUUGAGUGAAGUAGAGGUAAGCGGAAUUCCUAGUGUAGCGGUGAAAUGCGUAGAUAUUAGGAGGAACAUCAGUGGCGAAGGCGGCUUACUGGGCUUUAACUGACGCUGAGGCUCGAAAGCGUGGGGAGCAAACAGGAUUAGAUACCCUGGUA
RNAcentral lists this ribosomal RNA (454 nucleotides) under uncultured Ruminococcus sp. RNAcentral describes it as "partial 16S ribosomal RNA". It matches the Rfam family "Bacterial small subunit ribosomal RNA", at positions 341 to 792 of the family's 1533-position model. Lineage: Bacteria; Bacillati; Bacillota; Clostridia; Eubacteriales; Oscillospiraceae. The record is from RNAcentral.